RNAcentral lists this transfer RNA (24 nucleotides) under Nycticebus bengalensis (Bengal slow loris). RNAcentral describes it as "partial tRNA-Thr". RNAcentral also lists the same sequence under 2 other names. The record is from RNAcentral. Lineage: Eukaryota; Metazoa; Chordata; Mammalia; Primates; Lorisidae.
ACGGAGCACCCGCUCCCUAGGACA